RNAcentral lists this ribosomal RNA (205 nucleotides) under uncultured bacterium. Its description in RNAcentral is "partial 16S ribosomal RNA". It matches the Rfam family "Bacterial small subunit ribosomal RNA", at positions 568 to 774 of the family's 1533-position model. The record is from RNAcentral.
CACGUAGGCGGACCGGAAAGUUGGGGUGAAAUCCCGGGGCUCAACCCCGGAACUGCCUUCAAACUAUCGGUCUGGAGUUCGAGAGAGGUGAGUGGAAUUCCGAGUGUAGAGGUGAAAUUCGUAGAUAUUCGGAGGAACACCAGUGGCGAAGGCGGCUCACUGGCUCGAUACUGACGCUGAGGUGCGAAAGCGUGGGGAGCAAACA